AGCUCCAAUAGCGUAUAUUAAAAUUGUUGCAGUUAAAAAGCUCGUAGUUGAACUUCUGGUUUGGCGCGCGCGGCCCGUUGCGGCAACGCAGUGUGUGCCGUUGUGCGCCUGCCAUCCUUCUGGCGUUUGGGUGUGCCCUUCACUGGGACUGCACUGGGUGUCAAGAUCUUUUACUUUGAAAAAAUUAGAGUGUUUAAAGCAGGCUUGCGCAAUGAAUACAUUAGCAUGGAAUAAUAAUUUAGGACUUCUGUUCUAUUUUGUUGGUUUCUAGGAUGGAAGUAAUGAUUGAUAGGGAUAGUUGGGGGUGCUAGUAUUCAGCGGCCAGAGGUGAAAUUCUUGGAUUCGCUGAAGACUAACUUAUGCGAAAGCAUUCACCAAGGAUGUCUUCU
Molecule: ribosomal RNA, 389 nt
Filed under: uncultured Cercozoa
Lineage: Eukaryota; Cercozoa
Description: SSU rRNA
Rfam family: Eukaryotic small subunit ribosomal RNA
Source: RNAcentral